UAGCUCCCCCUUGUCCGACCAGCCGUCACGUCCUGUAACCAAAAGUGACCGGGAUGAAUGUCUGGCUCCC
This is an unclassified non-coding RNA of Castor canadensis (American beaver), 70 nucleotides long. The record is from Ensembl. NCBI's taxonomy places the organism in Eukaryota, Metazoa, Chordata, Mammalia, Rodentia, Castoridae.